GACGAACGCUGGCGGCGUGCUUAACACAUGCAAGUCGAGCGGUAAGGCCCUUUCGGGGGUACACGAGCGGCGAACGGGUGAGUAACACGUGGGUGACCUGCCCUUAGCUCUGGGAUAAGCCUGGGAAACUGGGUCUAAUACCGGAUAUGACUCCAUGACGCAUGUUGUGGGGUGGAAAGCCUUGUGCGGCUAGGGAUGGGCCCGCGGCCUAUCAGCUUGUUGGUGGGGUGAUGGCCACCAAGGCGACGACGGGUAGCCGGCCUGAGAGGGCGACCGGCCACACUGGGACUGAGACACGGCCCAGACUCCUACGGGAGGCAGCAGUGGGGAAUCUUGCGCAAUGGGCGAAGGCCUGACGCAGCGACGCCGCGUGGGGAUGACGGCCU
This 386-nucleotide ribosomal RNA is filed under the name uncultured bacterium. RNAcentral's name for it is "bacterial SSU rRNA". It matches the Rfam family "Bacterial small subunit ribosomal RNA", at positions 28 to 417 of the family's 1533-position model. The record is from RNAcentral.